GUUGACUACUUCACACGACGCACACACAGAAUCAUCUGAAGUCUGUUUGAUCGCUGUUGAGAGAAGCUUCAAACUGCUGGUGAGAGAUGAGCAGCUUUCAGUUUCUGAGACUUACAAACUCAGCUCAUACCCAACAGAUGAUGCAGGUAGGGCAUUAGCAGAAUCUCACACUUCAAAAGACGCUAGCACUGACACGUCCAGUCAUCCUGAAUGCAACUGGCUGGGGAAAUCACUUGAACACGAGCCCCCUGGUUGUUGCAUUCUUCACGCUGGAAAUGACGAAUAUGGGAGACAGGUGCAAAAUAGUGUCAGUCAAAUCCAAGCAUUCACCCUCAAUUCCAGUGAUGAGGGGGUCAGAUGUCAGUCAGAUUGCAUUCAUGGAGAUGCGUUAUAUGACACAGGUUUCUGUAAUGCAUGGAGCCAAUCUGCAGAAGUGGAAGACAGUAAUCAGAAGAGGGGUGAGCAUGGAUUUAGUGAGACUAUCCUUUUCAGCGAGGAAAAGGCAGAAGAUAACAGACCCAAAUCUUCCCCUGAUUAUGCAGUCUCUAAAUCAUUCUACUCAAACCCUGAAGAGCAAUCCUCUGGGAGCGUGGUAGAAAGUGUAAAAAAUGAGGAAAGAAUAUUAGAAUUUCAGAUAUGUGACACUGAAAAUGUUGCCAUCUGUGAUGGGGAAACAAAAGGCCAAGUUAAUGAGAAUGGCAUCAGCAACAACUCUAUCCCUUCUGCUGAUGAAUGUGCUAAGGGAUCAAUGGUUUGUUAUGAUGUGGUAUUAGCCAGAAAUAUUGCAAUUGAGAGUGUGAGUCUCGAAGCCGAUGACUUCUAUGGGGCAAAAGGAGAGCAUGCUGCUGGCAAGAUGAUAGCCAAAGCUGGGAGUGAAACUGGCUGAUCACACAACAGAGACUCCAAUGCCUGCAAGAAUCAGUCAAGAGCCUGCGGAAGGAGAUAAUGAGGCAAGCCCUUUCAGUGUAAUUGACCCUGCAAUCGGGAGUGAAACUGACAGGGAGGCUGAGGAGAAACGCUUUAAUUCAGGGAGCAAUGCAGGUGUGGAAUUAUUUACAUCAGCAAAAGUCUGCGAGAUGGAAACACCUCUUCCACUCUAUUCUGACGUGCGGCUAUCACAGGAGGUUUCAGGUCCCGACCAGAUCGGGCACUUUAAUCACCAUAGCAGAACACAACAGUUCAAAGAUGAAAAAGAGGACCUAUGGCAGUCAUACUCAGAUCCACCGGCUUGUUCUCUUCCCACCGACAAAACUCAAAACAAGACUGGCAACGAAGGCAGCUGUCACUGGAAAUCCAGUCCCAGCAUCAGUCAGUGCAGGCCAGCAGAUCCUCCUUCUGCAGAGGGUGUAAGACAAGAAAGCCAUGAUACUGUGGGACAUCAAUUGAAAGAGCAGGAUCAGUCCGGCUGUUUUCCUCUCAGUCCUGACCACCUAAAGACACAGGAGGUGGAAUAUUUACAGACAAAUUAUGAAAUUGCCAGAAUAGAUGUAAAAACUGAGAUAAAUGAAAAAGAAGGAAUGGCAAGUUUUGAAGAAGAAAUAAAAACUGAUGAACAUGGGAAGUCAGGAAUCUCACCAGACUUGGAGGAAAAACUGCUGCAACAAAAUAAAAAACCCAUAGAAGACACUAAACUAUCAACUGGUGACUGCAUCAGUGACUGGACAGAGGGCAACAUAAGUACAUAUGGCAACACAUUAGCACACAUUGAUGAUGAAAUAGGGAAUAACCUCGAAUGCUUGUCUGAUCACUCAUACAAUGCUGUAAUUAUGGAAUGGAAGAUGGAAGAGACAACAGAGGAAAAGGAAAGAGAGAAAGAGGCAAGUGUUGGAGAAGAAACUGAUGUGCAUGGUAACUCAGAGAUAUUAGGGAAAUCAGAGGAUGAUCAUCAGAGAGUAAGUCAACAGAAAAGAGACAUGACUGAGGAAUGUAUCAGUGAAUGUAGAGAGGACAACAUGUGUAGAAGUGGCCACAAAUUAACCUUUGUUAAUCAACAUGAACAAGAAAACAAGCGCAGUUGUUUCUCUGAUUACCAACACAGAGCUGAGAUAUUCAUGCUUGAAAAUAAAGAUGACCUUUCGGCGUUCACGUUCCCCCCAACAAGUGAUGCAGUUGUGCCAAGUCUACAUGAAUUACUCCAUUCACAACAUGCUGACAGAAACCCCACAGCCCUAAACGGUAAUGACAGAUUUUCCCCAAUGCCAUCUGCCUUAACUUUCAACGACCGUGUGGGCUUUGACACUUUCGAAAAGAUCCAGCUCUCACUAGAUGAUGAUGGUGGCCUGAGCAACAGCCGUCUUCUCACCAGCCUAGCCGGGCAGCUGUUGAAAACACCCGAGCAACAACUUUACCACUCUAUGCCAGAGGCAGAGAGCAAUGACCAUGAGGAGGUACCAGAAGAGGAGGAGGAAGAGAGCGAGGAGGAGAUGGAAAUAUUUGAAUGUUACACUGAGAACAUGGCAAAGGCAUUUUCAAGCAGGGAUACCAGUUGUAAUGAACUCCCAAACUGUAUCUCAGCAGCAUCAGCAGAUGUCAUUGCUCUCGGAUGGCCAGAUCAACAGCCUAACUGUGAAUCAUCUUAUAAUUCCUAUGAGUGCUUCGUGGAUGAUUUUAACGCACAAUCAGGGUCCUCCACUGUUCCCUCUAAGAGCGACAGUCUAGCCUCCGAUGUGAACCACAGCCCCAAAUUUCAGAUGAAAAAACAAUUUGACAUGGUCUUGAAAGAGCUGAAAUUAUAUUUUGAAAUCAGUCUAAGUGAUUUUGCAAGUGACAGUCGAGCAUCGACACCUGAGCAGUGUAGUGAUAAAACUGAAGCUUUGGAGGGCGACGCUUCAAACUGCAAAGAAGAAGUAGAACGCUACAGAGACACGUCAUCAGAGUCUCAUCUGGUUGCUUGGCAACCUCACGGUCACGACAAAGCUCCAGGAAGUGACAGCCAAGAAGUAUUCCAG
RNAcentral lists this long non-coding RNA (2948 nucleotides) under Cottoperca gobio. RNAcentral describes it as "lncRNA (ENSCGOG00000017326.1)". The record is from RNAcentral. Lineage: Eukaryota; Metazoa; Chordata; Actinopteri; Perciformes; Bovichtidae.